UUGCUUGAUUGGUGUGCGGUUGAAGUAAGCAGUGUGUAAAUCAAACCAGACAAACCCACGGAAUCUCCAAACAUGGAUUAAGCACGACGUAGAUGAAGCACUGGGACUUUCUGUGUUAUUGAUACGCCGGCCACUUGACUGACUACAGUGAGGCAAAAUUACAAAUAAUAUUAUGGUUGCCGAACGCAGGAGGGAUGACGUGGAUUUUGUUGUUACAAGGAAACACUCCAAGACAGAUGUGCAUACACAGUAUGUCUGUGGGUCUCGUUUCCUGAAUCCAUCUUCAUUGGGACUUGCUAACAUGGAAAAACAGUAAUGAGGACUCUGAGUUUCAAAAUAAAGAGAAAUUUGAC
This is a long non-coding RNA of Corythoichthys intestinalis (scribbled pipefish), 353 nucleotides long. RefSeq lists it as uncharacterized. The record is from RefSeq and is a predicted model, not a curated record. NCBI's taxonomy places the organism in Eukaryota, Metazoa, Chordata, Actinopteri, Syngnathiformes, Syngnathidae. The transcript has 3 exons.